AGUGAACGCUGGCGGUAGGCCUAACACAUGCAAGUCGAACGGCAGCACAGUAAGAGCUUGCUCUUACGGGUGGCGAGUGGCGGACGGGUGAGGAAUACAUCGGAAUCUACUUUUUCGUGGGGGAUAAUGUAGGGAAACUUACGCUAAUGCCGCAUACGACCUACGGGUGAAAGCAGGGGAUCUUCGGACCUUGCGCGAUUGAAUGAGCCGAUGUCGGAUUAGCUAGUUGGCGGGGUAAAGGCCCACCAAGGCGACGAUCCGUAGCUGGUCUGAGAGGAUGAUCAGCCACACUGGAACUGAGACACGGUCCAGACUCCUACGGGAGGCGGCAGUGGGGAAUAUUGGACAAUGGGCGCAAGCCUGAUCCAGCCAUGCCGCGUGGGUGAAGAAGGCCUUCGGGUUGUAAAGCCCUUUUGUUGGGAAAGAAAAGCAGCAGGUUAAUACCCCGCUGUUCUGACGGUACCCAAAGAAUAAGCACCGGCUAACUUCGUG
RNAcentral lists this ribosomal RNA (492 nucleotides) under uncultured bacterium. Its description in RNAcentral is "partial 16S ribosomal RNA". It matches the Rfam family "Bacterial small subunit ribosomal RNA", at positions 29 to 507 of the family's 1533-position model. The record is from RNAcentral.